Molecule: ribosomal RNA, 458 nt
Filed under: Neisseria pharyngis
Lineage: Bacteria; Pseudomonadati; Pseudomonadota; Betaproteobacteria; Neisseriales; Neisseriaceae
Description: bacterial SSU rRNA
Rfam family: Bacterial small subunit ribosomal RNA
Source: RNAcentral
AUUGAACGCUGGCGGCAUGCUUUACACAUGCAAGUCGGACGGCAGCACAGAGAAGCUUGCUUCUUGGGUGGCGAGUGGCGAACGGGUGAGUAACAUAUCGGAACGUACCGAGCAGUGGGGGAUAACUAAUCGAAAGAUUAGCUAAUACCGCAUAUUUUCUGAGGAAGAAAGCAGGGGACCAUUUGGCCUUGCGCUGUUUGAGCGGCCGAUAUCUGAUUAGCUAGUUGGUGGGGUAAAGGCCUACCAAGGCGACGAUCAGUAGCGGGUCUGAGAGGAUGAUCCGCCACACUGGGACUGAGACACGGCCCAGACUCCUACGGGAGGCAGCAGUGGGGAAUUUUGGACAAUGGGCGCAAGCCUGAUCCAGCCAUGCCGCGUGUCUGAAGAAGGCCUUCGGGUUGUAAAGGACUUUUGUCAGGGAAGAAAAGGAUAGGGUUAAUACCCCCUGUCUGAUGACG